This is a ribosomal RNA of Colletotrichum tofieldiae, 124 nucleotides long. Lineage: Eukaryota; Fungi; Ascomycota; Sordariomycetes; Glomerellales; Glomerellaceae. The record is from Rfam.
ACAUACGAACAUACCCAUUGGAAAACCCGGGAUCCCGUCCGCUCCCUCGUAGAUAAGCCAAUGAGGGGAGGCCGGAUCAGUAGUUGGGUCGGCGGCGACCAGCGAAUACCUGGUGUUGUACGUC